Non-coding RNA from Danio rerio (zebrafish), 507 nucleotides. The record is from RefSeq and is a predicted model, not a curated record. Lineage: Eukaryota; Metazoa; Chordata; Actinopteri; Cypriniformes; Danionidae.
AAAAGGUUAAAAUUCAUAAUCACUCAUGAUUGGUGGGAGUGUAAAUAACCCCAAGUUAUUUAAGUUAGGUUUCAGUGUUAAUUAUUUAUGCUGCUUUUAAUUACUUCUCUAUUUCUUUAAAAAUUGUUGUGUUUUUGUUAUUUAUUUGAACUCCGCUUUGCACUAAGUUAUUUAGCCUAUAGAGGCCCUUAUUUUGAUGCGCGGCUUGCCGGAAGUGGUCAGGUGCGCGAGCGCGCGCAGAUCACGGAAGCAGGGAGAUCGGAGAAGUGCGCCUAGCACGAGGGAGAGAGCGAUCGCUUGUACAGAGAAAUGCACGGAGCUAAAGUUACAUUUAAGGACUGAUUUAAGAGAGAUUUAAUGCAUAUUUGAGUUUGUUUUUUGUUCUGUUCAUCUUCAUUGUUUGAACACCUGGUUGGAAGGGAGAACAAGCUCUUACGGUGUUGUACAGUCUUUAAGGACGGCAAAUGCAACAAUAAAGGCACAAAGGAGGACAGUGCAACAUCAGUG